Molecule: ribosomal RNA, 363 nt
Filed under: uncultured eukaryote
Lineage: Eukaryota
Description: partial 18S ribosomal RNA
Rfam family: Eukaryotic small subunit ribosomal RNA
Source: RNAcentral
CAAUAGCGUAUACUAAUGUUGUUGCAGUUAAAAAGCUCGUAGUUGAACUUCUGGUAGGAGUGUCCCGGCCUUUUUGUUUUUACAAAUUGUAUGCUGCGUGACAUCUCUGGCCAUCCUUCUUCUUUGUUUAAAGAAGAUCUUUCACUGUAAAAAAAUUAGGGUGUUCAAAGCAAAAGUUUCUUUGGAAUAUAUUAGUAUGGGAUGAUAAGAUAGGCUCUAGAUGCUAUUUUGUUGGUUUGCACAUUUAGAGAAUGAUUAACAGGGACAGUUGGGGGUAUUCGUAUUUACAUGUCAGAGGUGAAAUUCUUGGAUUUUGGAAAGACGAACUACUGCGAAAGCAUUUACCAAGGAUGUUUUCAUUAA